This 497-nucleotide ribosomal RNA is filed under the name uncultured bacterium. RNAcentral describes it as "partial 16S ribosomal RNA". It matches the Rfam family "Bacterial small subunit ribosomal RNA", at positions 28 to 507 of the family's 1533-position model. The record is from RNAcentral.
GAUGAACGCUGGCGGCGUGCCUAAUACAUGCAAGUCGAGCGAACAGAUAAGGAGCUUGCUCCUUUGACGUUAGCGGCGGACGGGUGAGUAACACGUGGGUAACCUACCUAUAAGACUGGAAUAACUCCGGGAAACCGGGGCUAAUGCCGGAUAACAUUUAGAACCGCAUGGUUCUAAAGUGAAAGAUGGUUUUGCUAUCACUUAUAGAUGGACCCGCGCCGUAUCAGCUAGUUGGUAAGGUAACGGCUUACCAAGGCAACGAUACGUAGCCGACCUGAGAGGGUGAUCGGCCACACUGGAACUGAGACACGGUCCAGACUCCUACGGGAGGCAGCAGUAGGGAAUCUUCCGCAAUGGGCGAAAGCCUGACGGAGCAACGCCGCGUGAGUAAUGAAGGUCUUCGGAUCGUAAAACUCUGUUAUUAGGGAAGAACAAAUGUGUAAGUAACUGUGCACGUCUUGACGGUACCUAAUCAGAAAGCCACGGCUAACUACGUG